RNAcentral lists this ribosomal RNA (404 nucleotides) under Actinomycetes bacterium. RNAcentral's name for it is "Actinobacteria bacterium partial 16S ribosomal RNA". It matches the Rfam family "Bacterial small subunit ribosomal RNA", at positions 355 to 776 of the family's 1533-position model. The record is from RNAcentral. Lineage: Bacteria; Bacillati; Actinomycetota; Actinomycetes.
UGGGGAAUAUUGGACAAUGUGCGCAAGCCUGAUCCAGCCAUGCCGCGUGAGUGAUGAAGGCCCUAGGGUUGUAAAGCUCUUUCACCGGUGAAGAUAAUGACGGUAACCGGAGAAGAAGCCCCGGCUAACUUCGUUCCAGCAGCCGCGGUAGUACGAAGGAGGCUAGCGUUGUUCGGAUUUACUGGGCGUAAAGCGCACGUAGGCGGACUAUUAAGUCAGGGGUGUAAUCCCGGGGCGCAACCCCGGAACUGCCUUUGAUACUGGUAGUCAUGAGUUCGAGAGAGGUGAGUGGAAUUCCGAGUGUAGAGGUGAAACUCGUUGAUAUUCGGAGGAACACCAGUGGCGAAGGCGGCUCACUGGCUCGAUACUGACGCUGAGGUGCGAAAGCGUGGGGAGCAAACAGG